This 423-nucleotide ribosomal RNA is filed under the name uncultured bacterium. RNAcentral describes it as "bacterial SSU rRNA". It matches the Rfam family "Bacterial small subunit ribosomal RNA", at positions 202 to 622 of the family's 1533-position model. The record is from RNAcentral.
AAGACCUUGUGCUUUUGGAGCGGCCGAUGUCUGAUUAGCUUGUUGGUAAGGUAAAAGCUUACCAAGGCUUCGAUCAGUAGCUGGUCUGAGAGGACGACCAGCCACACUGGGACUGAGACACGGCCCAGACUCCUACGGGAGGCAGCAGUGGGGAAUUUUGGACAAUGGGGGCAACCCUGAUCCAGCCAUGCCGCGUGAGUGAAGAAGGCCUUCGGGUUGUAAAGCUCUUUCAGCCGGAACGAAACGGUUACGGUUAAUACCCGUGACUACUGACGGUACCGGAAGAAGAAGCACCGGCUAACUACGUGCCAGCAGCCGCGGUAAUACGUAGGGUGCAAGCGUUAAUCGGAAUUACUGGGCGUAAAGCGUGCGCAGGUGGUUUUGUAAGUCAGAUGUGAAAUCCCCGGGCUUAACCUGGGAACU